UAGGUUCUGGAGGGACAGAGGAAGCAGAACUGGGUCAGAACCGCACAGAGUGAGACCUCUUGGCUUGUCACCAGCUUUGUGUAUCCAGGAAACGGCAGCAGCAGCAGGGUUCACGUUCCAGCUCGUCAGAAAAGACGAGGAGUUUUAUUUCCUGGCCAGUCGGAGCUCAGCUUGUGUUUCAGUACGAGGAAAACUGUAGAAAAUAAAGUCAUGAUUUUAGGACACGUCACCAUCAAAAGAGACAAAAUACUGAAUCUUUCAACACGUCAGACAGAAAUAAUCAGCUGAACGACUUUAAAAGAUUCAUUUCAAAGAAAGAACCAGACGUGCUGAGCUGAGCAGGUCAGAUCACUAUUCAAGCUUUUUUACUCUAAUUUACUAUUAAUGAAGUCAUUUGACUAUUUAGAGGAUUUAACAACUUUCUUCCAGCAUCUUUAAUCUGUCACUAUAACUAUGCUUGUGGAACUUUCCUUGUAUUUGACAAGAAAUCUCAGCCUGGCAUAAAACUUGCUUUACUGACAUCUGCUGACAUUUUUCCUGUCAAACUUUCCUUUGACAGCAAAUACAUUUCUAGGGCCUGGUCCUAAUCCCCGUCACUAGAGGUGAUCAGGAUGUUUUGGUUACAAACAGCAAACUGGACACAACGUCUGUGUCAAAAUGUCAACAUCCAAGAUGGCCGACUGGUUUAGACCUUUACUGCUAAAAAACAUUACAAAUGUACAGUAAUAUUUUUGCUUUCCAAAGUCGUUGCUGGAGAUAUUUGGCUGUUUUAAUGUGUUUUGUUAUGACCUGUUGAAUAUGGAGCAAAAUUCAAUAUAAAUCAAACAGGUCACAGAGCUUUAUUAGAGUAAGUAGAGUUGUGUGUGUAACAGUUGUUAGUCGUGUAUGUUUGAUACACCGAGGAAUAAAUGUGCAGCUAAUGUGAACCUG
Molecule: long non-coding RNA, 930 nt
Organism: Poeciliopsis prolifica (blackstripe livebearer)
Lineage: Eukaryota; Metazoa; Chordata; Actinopteri; Cyprinodontiformes; Poeciliidae
Exons: 2
Source: RefSeq, a predicted model, not a curated record